Molecule: long non-coding RNA, 2494 nt
Filed under: Sus scrofa (pig)
Lineage: Eukaryota; Metazoa; Chordata; Mammalia; Artiodactyla; Suidae
Description: lncRNA (ENSSSCG00070008838.1)
Rfam family: Small nucleolar RNA SNORD116 (bases 1838-1929)
Source: RNAcentral
AGCGAGCCACCCGCGCCGCGUGGAGCGCUUCGCCCAGGUCGCGGCGCAGGGGCCUGGGCAGAGCGGGGAGGUCGGCGGCCAGGGACGUCUCUCAGCUGGCAGUGCCUGGGAGGCUGCUCGGGGCGGGUGUCCGGGUCCUGCGGCGGGCGGCUGGAUGGCGAGCGGAGACGGGAGGCCUGGGCUUGGGCAGCGGUGGCGGUGUCCUGGCCCCGACGGUGACGGAGGGCUUUGAUGAGGCCCGGCGGCCGCGUGCUUGCCAGGAAGGCCCGGGGCUUGAGGCCCUGGAAGGCCUGGCCCGUUCAGGAGUCCCGGCUGUUUGGGGAAUGUCCCACGCCCUGUGGGGAUUUGAGCCGUGUCUCCCGGCCGACUUGGGUGUCCCGGUUGGUGUGUGGUCGGGCCUGGGACGGGCUGGUGCGGGCGGAAACCGCCGGGUAGCGACCACGUCUCGUCAGGGGGUUCGUGCCUGCUGCUGGGCACGGGAACGGCUCCGGGGGGGUCUUACGGGCGCUGAGGGGAUUCCGCAUCAUGGAGAGGUCAAGGGGAGUUGGUGGCCGUCACCCUUCGUCAGGGCAGGGUGGCAUCAGUGCUCCCGUGCUGGGGUUCCUGGAGAGCCGGCUGGCACGGACAGACUCUUGUGAGGGCAAGUGGCUGAUCGUGCGUCGGAUGGGUCCAGCAAAGGAGAGAAAGCUUCGGUGCGCGCGCGCUCGCCAGGGAAAGGGUGACAGCGGGUGGGACCGAGAGGGAGAGAGAGAGAGGGAGAGAACAAAGGAAGAGAGAGGGUUUCCGCAGGGGCGGUGAGUCCUGGCGGAAGUCCUGAGGCAGAGGAGGUGCCAGGGGUUUGGGUUUCCCGGUCGUGUCGGGGGUGUGGCGCAGGUUGCCCCAGUGGGCCUGAAUGUGCCUCCGUGGGGCACCUUGUUGCCGUGUUGGGGGGCGGGGAGCCGGCCUUGGGGAUCCAUCUUUCGGGCCCUGGGACGUGGGAGAAGAAUGCCGGGGCCUCUCUCUGUGCCCCUGGCACGCCUCUGUGCAGGCCGGGCCUGCACCACCCCCCGCGCCCGUCCCCCAGGCAGGGUCCGUGUGGCUGCAGACACCCAGAGAGGGGAGGCUGGGGAGGCUGGGGAGCCGUGGCAGCCCGAUGCAGUGCGGGUCUCCAGGUGGAGGGGCCCUGGUCCCCUGGCGCCAGCGUGGCCCUUCCUCCUUGUGGAAACCCUUGUGGUGUGUGUGCUCUCUCGCCCUGACCCAGGAGAGCAGCAUGGCGGACCCCUGAUCUUGUGGCGUGCCACCGCGCGAGGCCGAGGAGCUCCCGCAGCCCAGUGGGCGUGGCGUCCUUGUCGCGGCUCUGUGGAGACCUGGCGAUGGAGAGCAGCAUGGCGGACCCCUGAUCUUGUGGCGUGCCACCGCGCGAGGCCGAGGAGCUCCCGCAGCCCAGUGGGCGUGGCGUCCUUGUCGCGGCUCUGUGGAGACCUGGCGAUGGAGAGCAGCAUGGCGGACCCCUGAUCUUGUGGCGUGCCACCGCGCGAGGCCGAGGAGCUCCCGCAGCCCAGUGGGCGUGGCGUCCUUGUCGCGGCUCUGUGGAGACCUGGCGAUGGUGAGCGGCCCCUGUCCUCAGUGGUGGAGAACUCGCCCUUGGGGCGCUCGUCUGUCCGGAGCCCCGGGCCAGCCCCGCUUCUCGCGGGCUUUGGCCCCGGCAGGCCAGCUCCGGGGGCGUGAGGGGGAGCGUCCCGUCCUGCCCAGUGGCUCGUCUGUCUGGGCACGCCCCCAAACGCUGCCGUGAUGGAGCGGGUGGGAUGUCCAGGUGCGGAGGCCGUGAAUUUGCCUUGCGGCGGCGGAGCCCGUGCUCGGAUCGAUGAUGACUCCCUCUAAAGCAUUCCUUGGAAAUCUGAACAAAAUGAGUGAGAACUCACUACCGUCUCCUCAUCGAAACUGAGGUCCGGCACGUGGCGGCCACCGGGGGCUCGGGGGUAGAUGGGCCCUUGGCCUUGGGGCCUCUGUGUGUCAGCAGCCACUCGGGUGAGGUCUGGGGAAGGCGGCCGCCUGCCGGGCCCAGGAAGCAUGGGGCCCGUCGCCCGGCGCUGGCCUCGGGGGCGAGGCCGCGUGCCCGAGCGUGCUGGAGAUCCCGGGCGGCCUCCCGCCGGCCUUGGGGGGUUUCGCAAGCCGUCGCGGGGGCCGAAAUUUGGGCCCGGCCCGCGAGGCAAGUGUGCGGCCCUAGGGCCCCAGGGGGCGUCCUGGCCCAGGCCGGGCGCCCUUCUCAGGAUGCUGUGGGGAGACGGGAUCCCGGCAGGGUAGUGUUCUCUUUCUGCUCUGGGGACCCCUGAGGGCCACCUGCUGCAGGGGGUCUGUGGUAGCGGGGGCCCUUGGAUCAGGGCCGUCCCCCAUGGGGGGGGGGAGCCUGGGAACCCCUGAGGGCGCUCCCCUGGGACGUCCAGGGAUGUUGGGGCGGAGGCUGGGGCUGGGUGGCGAGAAGGGGGCAGCUGAAGUGGUGAGCGACAGGCGGGCA